AUACCUUUCUCGGCCUUUUGGCUAAGAUCAAGUGUAGUAUCUGUUCUUAUCAGUUUAAUAUCUGAUAUGUGAGCCAUCGGCCCACUCGAUAUUAAUCUUAUUUUUUAUGGGAAAAGACCCGUCACAAUAGCUUGCUAUUGGGGUCUUUAAGCGUCGCCUUGGUGUUGCACUACUGCCUUGGCCUGGCGCACCCCUC
Molecule: small nuclear RNA, 196 nt
Filed under: Helianthus annuus (common sunflower)
Lineage: Eukaryota; Viridiplantae; Streptophyta; Magnoliopsida; Asterales; Asteraceae
Description: sRNA HanXRQr2_Chr03g0117781
Rfam family: U2 spliceosomal RNA
About the family: U2 is a small nuclear RNA (snRNA) component of the spliceosome (involved in pre-mRNA splicing).
Source: Rfam by way of RNAcentral